This 1228-nucleotide long non-coding RNA is filed under the name Daphnia magna. RNAcentral describes it as "uncharacterized LOC123471424, transcript variant X1". Lineage: Eukaryota; Metazoa; Arthropoda; Branchiopoda; Diplostraca; Daphniidae. The record is from RNAcentral.
AGUUACGAAAAAGAUUGAUUGAAAACAGCGCCCAAAAACAGUUGACAAUCACUGUUUUGACGUCAUACAUGAAGGUUAGUCUAAGCAGUCUUCUCUCACUUUCAUUUACGACCAAAACAGCACACGUGCAGCUGCUCACUGCUCAGUGUUGGUUCAAUUUGGUCCAGUGUACAGUACAUAAACAUAUCGUUUCGUUCAUCGCCACUUGAAUUAUAGUGUCAACCAAGUUUACCUCGCUAUGAAGGAUAAAAAGAUUAGCAAGCUUGUUGCUGAUUCAGCAGCGUUCAUCAGAAAUGCGCAAAUGCAGGAUGUUGCUGAUGUCGUUUACACGGUUAGGGAUGUCGUUGACGAAAUUAGAGAUCAAGCUACAAAGCAGAGACUCAGAGUUUUACCUUAUGAAAUAAAAAUGAUGGAACCAUCACCGGUGGUGAUGGACAAUGAAUGAAUGUGAACAAUCGUAAUAUUAUCAAUAUUAGACAGACGGUGUUCGGUUAAUGUAUUCUGAUGAGUAUGGCGCAAAAGCUUGACUGGGUGAAUUCACUAUGCAUUGGCACGUAAAAGUAAUUGUUAAACAAUAAUAGUUGCUAAGAUGUGCGAGUCCCGAUAGAUGUUCAACCACUCUAGCGGGAGAAACCGUAAGUCACACCAGGUAACCGAGAUUAGACGUCCGUGAAAGUGCACCUGGUGGUGAAUGUUGUAAACUCGAUCCAAUCGUUAUCGACGUCGCCACCCACCAAAUCCACCUAUAAGGGAGACACUGGAGACGAAGAUGCGGAACAUUAUUGGAAUUUGAUGACGUCAAUUCCUCUAUUAGGUAGAAGUGGGUGUCUCUCGCCGCUUCUACCUGAAGAGUCCCAAAGUGGACGAAGAAAGUGGUCGAAAUUGGUCACUGCAGAGAGACGGGAAUUCAAGGUCUAUCAAAAAUAUGACGAGUUCUGCAUGUCCUUUAUGUUCGACGAUCAGUUUCUUCUCACAAGGCCAGAUUUUUCACCCUCGUCUGUUUUGGCCUUUUGGUAAGCCUGCACAUAAGUUAGCUCAUCUGUGUUAUUCCAAAGAGCGUGAAGAAUUUGAGAACGGGUGAUGAGUAAAUAGCUACAUAGAUCCCGUGUACCUGUUUUGAGAAUCUUGUGUGGUUUAUGAGAUAUUUGGUAGCUGACACCAUAGGUCGAAGAUGCUUGGGAAAGAUUCUUUUGGUCGUAUGUGAGUAAGAUUUUCCACCCUUUUUUCA